GCCAGGCAUGGUGGAGCAUGCCUAUAAUCCUAGCAGCUCAGGAGGUUGAGGCAGGAGGAUCGUGAGUUCAAAGCCAGCCUCAGCAACUUGGUGAGGGCCUGUCUCUA
Molecule: small RNA, 107 nt
Filed under: Marmota monax (woodchuck)
Lineage: Eukaryota; Metazoa; Chordata; Mammalia; Rodentia; Sciuridae
Source: RNAcentral